This 441-nucleotide ribosomal RNA is filed under the name uncultured bacterium. Its description in RNAcentral is "partial 16S ribosomal RNA". It matches the Rfam family "Bacterial small subunit ribosomal RNA", at positions 338 to 795 of the family's 1533-position model. The record is from RNAcentral.
CCUACGGGAGGCAGCAGUGGGGAAUAUUGCACAAUGGGGGGAACGCUGAUGCAGCGACGCCGCGUGGGUGAAGAAGUAUUUAGGUAUGUAAAGCCCUAUCAGCAGGGAAGAAAAAUGACGGUACCUGACUAAGAAGCACCGGCUAAAUACGUGCGAGCAGCCGAGGUAAUACGUAUGGUGCAAGCGUUAACCGGAUUUACGGGGGGUAAAGGGAGCGCAGGCGGCCCGCUAAGCCUGAUGUGAAAACCCGCGGCCCAACCGCGGGAGUGCAUUGGGAACUGGCGGGCUGGAGGACCAGAGGGGCAGGCGGAAUUCCUAGUGUAGCGGUGAAAUGCGUAGAUAUUAGGAGGAACACCAGUGGCGAAGGCGGCCUGCUGGACGGAGACUGACGCUGAGGCUCGAAAGCGUGGGGAGCAAACAGGAUUAGAUACCCGAGUAGUC